Long non-coding RNA from Anas platyrhynchos (mallard), 2613 nucleotides. RefSeq lists it as uncharacterized. The record is from RefSeq and is a predicted model, not a curated record. NCBI's taxonomy places the organism in Eukaryota, Metazoa, Chordata, Aves, Anseriformes, Anatidae.
CUUUCUCUAGAUAUCAAUGUAGAAGUGCGUUUAGGAGUUAGUCAUACUGAUGUGUCUUAUAGUUAGUGGACAGAAAUGGGCAACUAGUUUCUAGUUAAUGAAAUUUAUUUCAGAUGUCUGUUUUAGGAUGGUAUGCAUUAUGCCCUAGAUGUACCUUCCCCCCACUACAGAGUCCAGACUUAUAGAUCAGAUGUCAUCACCUACAGCAAAACAUUCCAAGUGUUAAAAUGAAUCCCUUCUCCUGGGUCAAAACCCUUCCCCACUGUAGUGAAUGAGGUUUUGACUCUGAUGAAACCAGAAGCUCGCUUAUUGUUGCUCCGUCUCUGUUUCACCUACACUGCUGUGCUAGGCUGUAUCACAGUCACCAGGCCAAGAGUAAACAACCAUUAGAUGCUGUGGGCAUGGCCUUUUCCAGUUUAGGAGCUAAGCUUGCUGUUCGAAACCUGGUAGGAACAGGGAAAAGCUGCUGGCAAUAACUUGGCUCUAAGGCAGUGGGUCCUGCAGACCUGGAGCUCAACAAGAGGCAAGAACAGGGAAUCACUGCCUAAGUUAAAACAUCGCUGCUCCUAGAUUGCAUCCUUUGCCACUCCUGUGAUUUGCCAUUUGAAAGCUUCCCCAGGCUUUUCACAUAUAAUGUCAUACAUGUGACAGUCAGCAAAUAGCUUGUGCCUCAGGUAUCUCUGUCGCAGCAGAGGGAUCCCCAUCUGCCAAGCAAGAGCAGACAGAUGAUGUGCUCAGUGGGCAGCAAUGCACAGAGCAUGCAGCCACACAAAGAGAGGCUGUGGUGUGGACUAGGGCUAUAAAAACACUGCCAUGAGACCCAGCUGGCAAAAAAUUUGCCCUUAAGGUCUUGCAUGAAACACGCCCACUGCUGUUGUGUUGGCUUCUUCCUCCCAGGAGACUUCUCACAACUGUCCCGAGUUUCAGUGCACAUCCUCACCAUUCAGACCAGUGUCAAUUUCUAAUUCUCCCCAAACUUUACUAUUGAAUGGAUGGGGCUGAACAUCAGAAAUUUUUGUAGAUUGGUGUCUGAAGAAAAAAAUGGAAGAGAAUCAGAAGAUGGAAAAAAAAGGAGAAAGUUGACACACUAUUCAGGAAAGAGAAGUUAUGGGAUCACAAUAAUAGACCAUUUUCAAACACAAUUUCAUUGCCUUUCACUCAGUUAAUUAUGCUUCAAAUUGCCCUAGAUGGUGCCAGAAGCAGUCUUAGAAAUAGAAUAAAUGAUGAUAGUAAUACCAGCUUGGUUUUGUGGAGCCUCCAUAACUGGGUGGCACCUAAAUAAAAGCAUCUAAGGUGCCAGAAACCAAUUUGUGGUUUGGUUUUGGAUUCAUUUACAAUUUGGUUUGGCUUUCAAACAGAUCUAAGUAUGAUUGGGGUAGGGUACAAGAAUACAGAGCCCUCUUAUUUCUGUGGGGUGGUCAAGGUUUGCAUUUCACCACCACCGGUUCGUGGUUAGCCUCUUCUUUUGGCUAUUAAAUUUGAUGAAGAUUAUAGAACUGUCGGUUGCUCAAAGCACUGCUAGAGUUAAUGAUGGUCUGUUUAUGUGUACAUCUAUGUUUGUGCAGAUGUGACUGCAGAAACAGGACCAGAAUCCGGGUAGCUGAACAGCCAAUAUCAGCCAAGACAGUUGGAUACCCCGUGUCUCAGGAACUGAUGCCAACAGCAGUCGGGGGAGCAGCGCUGGUGUUCAGCACAUUUGGCUUUUUUCCUUACGUUCUGCACAUCAUGGGAGGAAUAGAAAUCAAAGGCAUGGAAGCAGUGUGAUUUUCAGAGGAGUGUGACUGGCACAUUUUGCAAAGCAGCAUGUGGAAAUCAGUCUGACUGAAGUACAGAAGCUGGUUCCAUGGGAGUGCUCCCUGCCACAUCUGAGCUCAACCUGGCUGUUAGGAAUAGGGGAUUGGAAAACAAGAAAUAAGGAACUCCGUAAUCUUUAGUGGCCCCAAAGAACAACAAUAAAAGUCCCAAUUUUUGCUCUGUAGAUGAGAAAUUAAACAAAUAAAACACAUCCUUCACUUCUAGCUCUACCAAUGCCUUCCCACAUCUUUUCUGCGUGUAGGAACUGCAUGUAACUGGGAAGUAAUCAUUUUCUGCAGUGUGCCUUUUCAGCAGCUGUUAGGACAUCUGGAUAGAAAACCAUCUGGUGCUUAUAUGGUGGCAAACACCACCAUAAACUUCCAGAAUCCCCCUUCUUUUGCAAAGUUGCUUAAACAUUAAAUGGCAGCAGGGCUCUGAAGUAAGUCCUGCUCCCAGGAUGAGAGGAGGGGAGCUCAAAAGCAGCUUUCAACAUGGAACUUUGGAUGGUAACAAAAGUUUUGAUACUGCACCCAAAGUCUCAGAUAUAAGCUUUUGACUUCUUCAGCAUCAGUAGAUAUUCCCUCCACUCCAGGUCUCCCCACGUGGAGCAGUAUCUCCGGAGAACUGUAGACAGUUUGAUUUCAUCUCAUCCCAUCCUUUCCUGGGUAUUUUUCCAUUAGAGCUUUGCACAGAGCCCACAGGAUUAGGGAAGAGCCAGAUCUGAGUCUGUCAAGCUGUGGUUCUGUUUUCAAUGGUUAUAUAUAUUGUGCUCUGUGUUGAAUUAAAACUACAAUAAAAGUCCUCUCACUUGUUACUGUA